Small nuclear RNA from Nomascus leucogenys (northern white-cheeked gibbon), 106 nucleotides. NCBI's taxonomy places the organism in Eukaryota, Metazoa, Chordata, Mammalia, Primates, Hylobatidae. The record is from Ensembl.
GUGCUUGCUUUGGCAGCACAUAUACUAAAAUGGGAACAAUACACAGAAAGUUGUCAUGGCCCUGCACAAGGAUGACAUGCAAAUUUGUGAAACAUUCCCUAUUUUU